ACGGAAGGCAGCAGUGAGGGAUAUUGGUCAAUGGGCGGAAGCCUGAACCAGCCAAGUCGCGUGAAGGAUGAAGGUAUUAUGUAUUGUAAACUUCUUUAGACGUAGAGAAAUAAGGGGAUCGUGAUCCCUGAUGCUAGUAUACGUAGAAUAAGGAUCGGCUAACUCCGUGCCAGCAGCCGCGGUAAUACGGAGGAUCCGAGCGUUAUCCGGAUUUAUUGGGUUUAAAGGGUGCGCAGGCGGCCCUGUAAGUCAGCGGUUAAACCGUGGAGCUCAACUCCAUCCCGCCGUUGAUACUGCAGGGCUUGAUUGCGGUCGAGGUUGGCGGAAUUCGCCGUGUAGCGGUGAAAUGCAUAGAUAUGACGAAGAACACCGAUUGCGUAGGCAGCAGACCAGGCCGUAAAUGACGCUCAUGCACGAAAGUGCGGGGAUCGAACAGGAUUAGAUACCCUGGUA
RNAcentral lists this ribosomal RNA (453 nucleotides) under uncultured Porphyromonadaceae bacterium. RNAcentral describes it as "partial 16S ribosomal RNA". It matches the Rfam family "Bacterial small subunit ribosomal RNA", at positions 341 to 792 of the family's 1533-position model. Lineage: Bacteria; Pseudomonadati; Bacteroidota; Bacteroidia; Bacteroidales; Porphyromonadaceae. The record is from RNAcentral.